RNAcentral lists this transfer RNA (88 nucleotides) under Candidatus Omnitrophota bacterium. Its description in RNAcentral is "tRNA-Ser". It matches the Rfam family "tRNA". Rfam says of the family: Transfer RNA (tRNA) molecules are approximately 80 nucleotides in length. Their secondary structure includes four short double-helical elements and three loops (D, anti-codon, and T loops). Lineage: Bacteria; Pseudomonadati; Candidatus Omnitrophota. The record is from RNAcentral.
GGAGAGGUCGCGUAGUGGCCGAGCGCGCGGGUCUGGAGUACCCGUAACCCGCAAGGGUUCGAGGGUUCGAAUCCCUCCCUCUCCGCCA